AUACGGAGGCUGCAAGCGUUAAUCGGAAUUACUGGGCGUAAAGCGUACGUAGGCGGUUUAUUAAGUCAGAUGUGAAAGCCCCGGGCUUAACCUGGGAACUGCAUUUGAAACUAGUAGACUAGAGUAUGGUAGAGGGGGGUAGAAUUCCUAGUGUAGCGGUGAAAUGCGUAGAUAUUAGGAGGAAUACCAGUGGCGAAGGCGGCCCCCUGGACCAAUACUGACGCUGAGGUACGAAAGCGUGGGGAGCGAACAGGAUUAGAAACCCCAGUAGUCC
RNAcentral lists this ribosomal RNA (274 nucleotides) under uncultured bacterium. RNAcentral describes it as "partial 16S ribosomal RNA". It matches the Rfam family "Bacterial small subunit ribosomal RNA", at positions 523 to 796 of the family's 1533-position model. The record is from RNAcentral.